Molecule: ribosomal RNA, 482 nt
Filed under: uncultured bacterium
Lineage: Bacteria
Description: partial 16S ribosomal RNA
Rfam family: Bacterial small subunit ribosomal RNA
Source: RNAcentral
GACGAACGCUGGCGGCGUGCUUAACACAUGCAAGUCGAACGCUGAAGCUCAGCUUGCUGGGUGGAUGAGUGGCGAACGGGUGAGUAACACGUGAGUAACCUGCCCUCUUCUUUGGGAUAACGCCCGGAAACGGGUGCUAAUACUGGAUAUUCACUGAUUCUCGCAUGGGGGUUGGUGGAAAGGUUUUUUCUGGUGGAGGAUGGGCUCGCGGCCUAUCAGCUUGUUGGUGGGGUGAUGGCCUACCAAGGCUUUGACGGGUAGCCGGCCUGAGAGGGUGACCGGUCACAUUGGGACUGAGAUACGGCCCAGACUCCUACGGGAGGCAGCAGUGGGGAAUAUUGCACAAUGGGCGAAAGCCUGAUGCAGCGACGCCGCGUGAGGGAUGGAGGCCUUCGGGUUGUAAACCUCUUUCGCUCAUGGUCAAGCCGCAGCUUUGGGUUGUGGUGAGGGUAGUGGGUAAAGAAGCGCCGGCUAACUACGUG